RNAcentral lists this ribosomal RNA (1413 nucleotides) under metagenome. RNAcentral describes it as "SSU rRNA". It matches the Rfam family "Eukaryotic small subunit ribosomal RNA", at positions 528 to 1790 of the family's 1831-position model. The record is from RNAcentral.
AAUCCUUUAACAAGGACCUAUUGGAGGGCAAGUCUGGUGCCAGCAGCCGCGGUAACUCCAGCUCCAAUAGCGUAUAUUAAAGUUGUUGCGGUUAAAACGUUCGUAGUUGAACUUGUGCUUCAUACGGGUAGUAUAACUAUAAUUGUAGUCUGUACUAUACCUUAUGUAUGUAAGCGUAUUACCGGUGGAGUUCUUAUAUAUAUUAAAUACUUGUAUUUAUAUGUAUUCCUCCUAUUUAAACCUGCUUCAGUGCUCUUCAUUGCGUGCUGUUGUAGGCCGGUACAAUUACUUUGAACAAAUUAGAGUGCUUAAAGCAGGCUCCAAAUGCCUGAAUAUUUUGUGCAUGGAAUAAUGAAAUAAGACCUCUUUCUACUUUCAUUGGUUUUUAGAUCAAGAGGUAAUGAUUAAUAGAAGCAGUUUGGGGGCAUUAGUAUUACGACGCGAGAGGUGAAAUUCUUGGACCGUCGUAAGACUAACUUAAGCGAAAGCAUUUGCCAAAGAUGUUUUCAUUAAUCAAGAACGAAAGUUAGAGGUUCGAAGGCGAUCAGAUACCGCCCUAGUUCUAACCAUAAACGAUGCCAGCUAGCAAUUGGGUGUAGCUACUAUUAUGGCUCUCUCAGUCGCUUCCCGGGAAACCAAAGCUUUUGGGCUCCGGGGGAAGUAUGGUUGCAAAGCUGAAACUUAAAGGAAUUGACGGAAGGGCACCACCAGGAGUGGAGCCUGCGGCUUAAUUUGACCCAACACGGGAAAACUUACCAGGUCCGAACAUAAGCGUGUAAGACAGAUUGAUAGCUCUUUCUCGAAUCUAUGGGUGGUGGUGCAUGGCCGUUCUUAGUUCGUGGAGUGAUUUGUCUGGUUAAUUUCGAUAACGAACGAGACUCAAAUAUAUUAAAUAGAUGCUUUCAGGAUUAUGGUGUUUGAAGCUUUUAUAGCCUUCAUUCAUGAAUGCAGUAACAUGUGUGAGUGUUUGAAUGUGUUUAUAAAGGUGGAGCCGUACCUGUUGGUUUGUCCCAUUAUAAGGACACUAGCUUCUUAAAUGGACAAAUUGCGUCUAGCAAUAAUGAGAUUGAGCAAUAACAGGUCUGUGAUGCCCUUAGAUGUCCUGGGCUGCACGCGCGCUACAAUGAAAGUAUCAACGUGUAUUUCCUAGACCGAGAGGUCCGGGUAAACCGCUGAACCACUUUCAUGCUUGGGAUUGCGAACUAAAACUGUUCACAUGAACUUGGAAUUCCCAGUAAGUGUGAGUCAUUAACUCGCAUUGAUUACGUCCCUGCCCUUUGUACACACCGCCCGUCGCUACCACCGAUUGAAUUAUUUAGUGAGGUCUCCGGACGUGAUCACUGUAACGCCUUGCGUGUUACGGAUGUUUCGCAAAAGUUGACCGGACUUGAUUAUUUAGAGGAAGUAAAAGUC